RNAcentral lists this transfer RNA (75 nucleotides) under Wuchereria bancrofti. RNAcentral describes it as "tRNA-Met". It matches the Rfam family "tRNA". From Rfam's summary of the family: Transfer RNA (tRNA) molecules are approximately 80 nucleotides in length. Their secondary structure includes four short double-helical elements and three loops (D, anti-codon, and T loops). Lineage: Eukaryota; Metazoa; Nematoda; Chromadorea; Rhabditida; Onchocercidae. The record is from RNAcentral.
GCCGGGGUAGCGCAGCCAGUUAGCGCAUCAGUCUCAUAAUCUGAAGGUCAUGAGUUCGAACCUCACCUUCGGGCA